ACAUUGCCCUUCGCGUUCAGGACGCCGGCAAUGUCGUUGACGGAGCCGUUCGGAUUGGUUCCUUCGGCAUAGCGGAACAC
RNAcentral lists this small RNA (80 nucleotides) under Sinorhizobium meliloti 2011. RNAcentral's name for it is "putative ncRNA". Lineage: Bacteria; Pseudomonadati; Pseudomonadota; Alphaproteobacteria; Hyphomicrobiales; Rhizobiaceae. The record is from RNAcentral.